CCCCGCGAUAGCGCUUCUCUCACUCGGCAGCACGUCGAUUUGCUGCUGGGCAUGCGUGCCACCAUGGGGGGGCUCAGUCGGAAAUUAGGUCAGUGACCCGCGGCUCUUAACCUCAAUUUACCUCAAUUUCGGCCCCGUUGGGGCCCCAAGGUGCCAGUGCUGCUGCCUGCCGUCCAUCGGGGUCCCUCCACAGCUCCAAGGUAGGCCUCCGAGUGGAUUUUGUCGCCUCUCAGGGGCCAGUGUUGGGGCUUUGCUCGUUUUGGGGGAAAACUACAACAAGCUCUGCUUUCUGUGUUGUUGGUGUUUGCGUUGCCAGGCAACCGGACGACUGGGCAUGCGCGCCACCAUGGCAACCGCAACACUGGCAACAACAACCUGCGGCUUAUUCGCGAAUUAGGUCAGUGACCCCCGGAUGUUUACCCCAGUUUGGGCCCCAUUUGCAGCUGAUUUGGGGCCCACAGUGCCAGUGCUGGUGCCUCCGAGAGAUGCGAGCAUCGGACAUUUUCCAACGCUCCAAGGGGGCCUUCGUCGGCGGCGAUUCCUGAGCGGUUGGUGAAUGCGCCCGCCGAUCACCCCCGAGAGCCGGAUGGACCGAGGGAUUUUGCCUGUGAUUUUAGGCAAAGCCGGCCCUGCCGCCCUCAGUUUACGCCAUACGGCCCCGCACUACUCGGUUAGUGUGGUCUCUGUCUGAUGCAUCCGUGACGUCGGUUAGAUGCGUGAACUCAAAGGCGACAUUGACGGUGCAAGCGCACAGGCCAGGACUCAGGGAGAUUUUCAACCAAAGUUUAAUCAUAAACCUUUUCGUCACUGA
Dendroctonus ponderosae (mountain pine beetle) is the source of this 811-nucleotide long non-coding RNA. RefSeq lists it as uncharacterized. The transcript is spliced from 3 exons. NCBI's taxonomy places the organism in Eukaryota, Metazoa, Arthropoda, Insecta, Coleoptera, Curculionidae. The record is from RefSeq and is a predicted model, not a curated record.